GUGAAUCAUCAAAUUUUUGAACGCAUAUUGCACUCUCUGGUAUUCCGGAGAGUAUGCCUGUUUGAGGGUCAGUUAAAUAAAAAUCGAGGUUUUGCUGCCUUUUUGUGGUGAAGCUUCGGAAUUGGGUUGUCUUUACCUAUCGGUUAAGUGACCUAAAAUUUUUGUAUGAUAUCUGAAAGGUUUUUAAUUUAUUUGGUACGUUUUGUAAUAUCGAAUGUUUAUUUGGUGUUAUUAUCCUUAUGGAU
This 245-nucleotide unclassified non-coding RNA is filed under the name Glomeromycotina sp. RNAcentral describes it as "partial contains 5.8S ribosomal RNA and internal transcribed spacer 2". The stretch from base 1 to 71 matches the Rfam family "5.8S ribosomal RNA", at positions 84 to 154 of the family's 154-position model. Lineage: Eukaryota; Fungi; Glomeromycota. The record is from RNAcentral.